UACAAACAUCUGGUCCAAACUGGGCUUCAUUAUCCCUACAAAUUUCUUUGGAAAACAAAGAUGCCUACCAGGGUUAAGGUCUUCUUAUGGCUGCUGCCGAGAAAAAGUAUUCUCACCAAGGAAAACUUGAAAAAAAGAGGAUGGCAGGGAGACACCAAAUGUUCCUUCUAUGGUCGAGAAGAAGAUAUAGAGCAUCUCUUUAUACAUUGCUCAGUGGCAAAUAUGUUAUGGAUGGUCAUGAAAUGCUCCUUUGAUAUACACGAUGUUCUUGAUAAAAUUAAUGAUAUAUUUGGUACAUGGAUAAAUAAGUUUGAGAAAAAUGAUAAGAGUCUUAUGACAGUGGGAAUAUCUGCCAUGUUAUGGAUGAUGUGGAAAUUGAGAAAUAGAUUAGUUUUUGAUAACCACAGGGUUUUUGAUCCUUGUGUUCCAGUGAAUUUGAUUAUCAAGAAUUUACAUGAAUGGUGUGUGUUGCAGAAAAACCAAGGAAGAACAAAUCGCAUGAAGGAGGGUGUAAGACAAGUUGAGCAGGUUGCUAGGGAGAUCUUCAAGGCGACGCAUGGAUGGACGACCGGAGUGUUGGGACUCGUAGCAUAA
Molecule: ribosomal RNA, 594 nt
Filed under: Triticum aestivum (bread wheat)
Lineage: Eukaryota; Viridiplantae; Streptophyta; Magnoliopsida; Poales; Poaceae
Description: partial small subunit ribosomal RNA
Source: RNAcentral